RNAcentral lists this ribosomal RNA (563 nucleotides) under Scapanea frontalis. Its description in RNAcentral is "eukaryotic LSU rRNA". It matches the Rfam family "Eukaryotic large subunit ribosomal RNA", at positions 1389 to 1888 of the family's 3401-position model. Lineage: Eukaryota; Metazoa; Arthropoda; Insecta; Odonata; Libellulidae. The record is from RNAcentral.
UCGCGGCGGUGGGCGCAGAAGGGUCUGGGCUCGAGCCUGCCUGGAGCUGCCGCCGGUGCAGAUCUUGGUGGUAGUAGCAAAUACUCCAGCGAGGCCCUGGAGGACUGAUGUGGAGAAGGGUUUCGUGUGAACAGCCGUUGCACACGAGUCAGUCGAUCCUAAGCCCUAGGAGAAAUCCGAUGCAAAUGGCGAUGGGAAAAACGACUACUCAUAGAGACAGAGACCCAUUGAUCGGGCGAAAGGGAAUCCGGUUCCUAUUCCGGAACCCGGCAGCGGAACCGUUGUUCGUCGGGCCCUCGCAAGGGGUUCGUCAGGGCAACCUAAAAGGGCCCGGAGACGCCGUCGGGGGCCCCGGAAAGAGUUUUCUUUUCUGCAUGAGCGUUCGAGUUCCCUGGAAUCCUCUCGCAGGGAGAUAGGGUUUGGAGCGCGAAGAACACCGCAGUUGCGGCGGUGAACGGGUAUUCCCGACGGACCUUGAAAAUCCGGGAGAGGGCCACGUGGAGGUGUCGCGCCGGCUCGUACCCAUAUCCGCAGCAGGUCUCCAAGGAGAAGAGCCUCUAGUC